GGGGCUGUGGCUCAGCGGUAGAGCGCUCGUCUCGCACACAUGGGACCCUGGGUUCGACCCUCAGCACCA
Molecule: transfer RNA, 69 nt
Filed under: Ictidomys tridecemlineatus (thirteen-lined ground squirrel)
Lineage: Eukaryota; Metazoa; Chordata; Mammalia; Rodentia; Sciuridae
Description: Spermophilus tridecemlineatus (thirteen-lined ground squirrel) tRNA
Rfam family: tRNA
About the family: Transfer RNA (tRNA) molecules are approximately 80 nucleotides in length. Their secondary structure includes four short double-helical elements and three loops (D, anti-codon, and T loops).
Source: Rfam by way of RNAcentral